UGGGUAACCUGCCUCAAAGAGGGGAAUAGCCUCCCGAAAGGGAGAUUAAUACCGCAUAAUAUGUUUAAGUCGCAUGACUUUAACAUCAAAGGAUUUUCUUUUAGAAAUUCCACUUUGAGAUGGACCCGCGGCGCAUUAGCUAGUUGGUGAGGUAACGGCUCACCAAGGCAACGAUGCGUAGCCGACCUGAGAGGGUNAUCGGCCACAUUGGAACUGAGACACGGUCAAGCUCCCGUAGGGAGG
Molecule: ribosomal RNA, 243 nt
Filed under: uncultured bacterium
Lineage: Bacteria
Description: partial 16S ribosomal RNA
Rfam family: Bacterial small subunit ribosomal RNA
Source: RNAcentral